Molecule: long non-coding RNA, 324 nt
Filed under: Elaeis guineensis (African oil palm)
Lineage: Eukaryota; Viridiplantae; Streptophyta; Magnoliopsida; Arecales; Arecaceae
Description: long non-coding RNA (EGUI_LNC065907)
Source: RNAcentral
UUAAACUGUCAACCCUGAUUAGAUCAUCCGAGUCGUGCUCAACUCAAUCAGUCCUGUGACUCCUCACUAGGACUAUCCUGGCCAAGGUUUUGCUAAAUUGAAACAUGACUGUACAUAGCUCCUGAACUGGAGUGUCAAUCCCAUCUUGACACACGCACCGACAAGUCAAGUACUUGACUACACCCAGCAGCCUUCCGUCACUGAAUUAAAAAUUCAGGUAGUCCAUUGCCUAAGUGCAGUGAGUUGCUUGCAAGUCACCAUGGCGGUCUCAGAUCGGAGGGACAUUUAUACCCAUAUCCCAUCGGAGCAAAUCUUGACAGUAGA